GAAAUGCGAUAAGUAAUGUGAAUUGCAGAAUUCAGUGAAUCAUCGAAUCUUUGAACGCACAUUGCGCCCGCCAGUAUUCUGGCGGGCAUGCCUGUCCGAGCGUCAUUUCAACCAUCAAGCCCCCGGGCUUGUGUUGGGGACCUGCGGCUGCCCGCAGGCCCUGAAAACCAGUGGCGGGCUCGCUGUCACACCGAGCGUAGUAGCAAUCACCUCGCUCAGGGCGUGCUGCGGGUUCCGGCCGUUAAACAGCCUUACAAAACCCAAGGUUGACCUCGGAGCAGGUAGGAAGACCCGCUGAACUUAAGC
RNAcentral lists this unclassified non-coding RNA (306 nucleotides) under plant metagenome. RNAcentral describes it as "partial contains 5.8S ribosomal RNA, internal transcribed spacer 2, and large subunit ribosomal RNA". The stretch from base 1 to 105 matches the Rfam family "5.8S ribosomal RNA", at positions 50 to 154 of the family's 154-position model. The record is from RNAcentral.